Molecule: long non-coding RNA, 1702 nt
Organism: Lolium rigidum
Lineage: Eukaryota; Viridiplantae; Streptophyta; Magnoliopsida; Poales; Poaceae
Exons: 3
Source: RefSeq, a predicted model, not a curated record
GAGUGGUGGACGCCCACGUUCAACUGCCGCGUUGAUGCUAUGCACCGCUCCACCGCCUUACUCGCCGCAGGGGAGCUCUGCGAGGUCCAAAUGAAUAUGGAGUCGCUUCGCUCCGGUCCUGCCCGCAACAUCUUACUCCUGGACAACUUCGUCCAUGGCCAGUCCGGUGCCGGCAACAACUGAGCCAAGGGACACUAUGUCGAGUACGCCAAGCUCAUCGACUUUGUCCUCGACAUGGUAUUAUGAAAGCGCAAGGAGACCAAGAACUCGGACUGCCUCCAAGGUAUUAAACACGUUGUCCUGUUCCUUUGUACUCUAAAUAGUUAUGCACAUGUAUAACUCCGUUUACAACUACAAAAGGUGAAAUCAAUUGAUUUUAGUACACAAGGAUAUAUUAAAGAAAAUACUAAUUUUCAGUAAUAAGUUAGGUAUUGAUACAUGAAGUAGGACCUUGGAGACAUAUUUCACAUAGUUUCUUUAUGACCCCUGAUUGGACAUGAGCAUGGUUGAUCGUGUGGUGCUCGAUUGUUGCAUGUUAGCAUCUAUGGACAGUUAGAUGUCUGAACCGGUAUAGUACAGUUCUGAAUAUUUUUUUCAGUAUUUUAACUCAAGUGCCCGAGCUUCUAGAAAUUAUUUAACUCAAGCUAGCAAAUCAUUCAUAGCGGAAAUGGUGGAGUGCAUCUUUGGUCCAACUUCUUUAGUCGUGUAAUUUGCUAGGUAUAAGUAGUAACUAUUCAGAUCUUUGAGGUCCCAAAUAAUGUUGCUAAUGCGCGUGCAAGUUCAUUCAGUUAAUUAUAGCUUUAUCUGAUGACUGUGAGCAUGAACUCAUGACGUUGCUUUUCUUUACUAUAUAUUGAGCACGAACAUGGAGGGUCCAUCGUCAGCGUUGGUCGUGCGGCGGCAGAAAGUUCAAGGCAAGGUCGCUUUAAGAGAGUGGAGGAAGAGAACGAGGAUGCGGAAUACUCUCUAGAAAAUGGCUGACACCUGAUAGUGAGGGGACAUCCAACCUCUUGUAUGUGACAAUGGCACUGGAAUGGUCAAGGUUAGAAAUCUUACUCGCAGUUGUUUCAUAAUUGUUUCCUGCAUUUGUUAAGAUAUUAUGUAGGCUGGUUUCACUGCUGGAAACCUCAGGCAAAUUACAAUGGGAGGCUGCUCACCGCAGGUAGAUAUGAAGUUUUGGAGCACUAGAUCAAGAAAUGAAGGCAAUCAUUGUUCCAUGGUGCCUAUGGGUGCCGCUUUUCCAGGGUGCACACAUCGCUGAAAAAUUGCAGUUUCACAAGAACAAUAUUUCUACCCGGUGUACUGUGCACCACCGUAGCUACAUGCAGAUCCGCCACUGAUUGUUCCCAUUUGUUGGUCUAAAAAAAGUAUUUCCAUUUGUCAAUAUUUGCAGGGUUUUUUAACUGUUAAUAUUUGAAAGGAGUGUAGGGAGAAAACAUGCAUCUAGAGUAAGAUGUGAUUGGUCAUUUGUCACAAUGAUUAUAAAUUCAGCUCGACAUGUACAUGGGGUUUAUUUUUUCUUAGGGGGGCAACAAAGGAUAAAUUGUGCAGAUGGUUGCAUAGAGGUAGGGACCAAAUGAAUAUGUACAUGUCCAUAGCUAUGUUAUGAAAGUAAACAUAUGUUAUGCUCGAUGCAUUUGACAAAAUGGAAGAACUGAUGCACACAUAAUUUGAUAUUUCCGUGGUAAAACAUAAUUAGUUU